Molecule: transfer RNA, 120 nt
Filed under: Mycolicibacterium brumae
Lineage: Bacteria; Bacillati; Actinomycetota; Actinomycetes; Mycobacteriales; Mycobacteriaceae
Description: tRNA-Arg
Source: RNAcentral
GCGGUUGAUCUCUAUCCGCAUAAAUAAAUGUAACCGAUUUAUCAAUGGAAGUCGAACCGACUUCCUGUCCGCUGACUACGGAUCAGAAGGUUAGGGGUUCGAAUCCCUUCCGGCGCACCA